GACGAACGCUGGCGGCGUGCUUAACACAUGCAAGUCGAACGGUGAAGCCCCAGCUUGCUGGAGUGGAUCAGUGGCGAACGGGUGAGUAACACGUGAGCAACCUGCCCCUGACUCUGGAAUAAGCGCUGGAAACGGCGUCUAAUACUGGAUACGAGAAGGGUCCGCAUGGGCACUUUCUGGAAAGUUUUUCGGUUGGGGAUGGGCUCGCGGCCUAUCAGCUUGUUGGUGAGGUAAUGGCUCACCAAGGCGACGACGGGUAGCCGGCCUGAGAGGGCGACCGGCCACACUGGGACUGAGACACGGCCCAGACUCCUACGGGAGGCAGCAGUGGGGAAUAUUGCACAAUGGGCGAAAGCCUGAUGCAGCGACGCCGCGUGAGGGAUGACGGCCUUCGGGUUGUAAACCUCUUUCAGCAGGGAAGAAGCGAAAGUGACGGUACCUGCAGAAGAAGCACCGGCUAACUACGUG
RNAcentral lists this ribosomal RNA (468 nucleotides) under uncultured bacterium. RNAcentral's name for it is "partial 16S ribosomal RNA". It matches the Rfam family "Bacterial small subunit ribosomal RNA", at positions 28 to 507 of the family's 1533-position model. The record is from RNAcentral.